CGAAAACUUGUUAAUUGAUAGUCAAAGUUUCCAGGGAAAGAAGCAUACGAAUCUGCAAUAAUGGACCAUGCCAUUAUUGUCCACAAUUAUAGGUUCGACUCUGGGAUAAUACUGAUAAUUGUUAAAAGUUAAGCUAUUUCUAACAUAACACACUGAAUUCCCAUUCAGAAUUUUGUACUUGUAACUCAGCACUCUAUCGUCACAAUUCAGAAUCAUUGUUUUUCUUCUCCUCCACCAUGAAAAAAAAAGAAGAACGAAAAAAAAAAUACAAAAGAAAGGGUAGCCUCUUCUAUCAAUUAUCACCUCUAAUAAAAAGCCAUGAGACUUUUUAAGCUAAAGAUUGGGCCUCUACUAUCAAUUAUCAAAGAGUGGACUUUGGCACUUCUUUCGUAUAUUUCAGCUAUGUUCAAGAGUCCAAAUUUGCAAGAGGAAAAACUUUAUAGCAACAGCAAUACAUACAAUCUCUGCAUCAGAAUCAGGUAGAUCUAACUGAAGCAGGGUAAGCUGAACCUCCAUUCCCAUAACCGCCAUGCUUGGAGUGCAGAGGAGACCGAAGAGGAUGGGCUGAAUGCUGUUCUUGUCUCCAGUUAAUAUUAUUACCCUGUUUUUUGGUCUUCACUUUGCUCUGUUUAGGUUUAUCUUUGAUGGCAUAUAUCUUUUCUAAGCUGUCCAAGACUUCAUCCAUGGAAGGUCUUAUUUUGGGGUCGGAUUCCAAGCAGUGUGUUAUAAGGUCAGCCGCUUGCAUUGCACCUUUCAUUGGGUACUGUUCUUCAAGCCUGGGGUCCAUAAUCUUUUUCAGUUUCCUUUUAUCUGAAAGAGAUGGCAAGGCCCAAUCUACCAAAUUGUACUCGCCCGUAGGCCGGUUGGUGUCAAGUGCUCUGAGGCCCGUUAACAAUUCCAGCAGGACAACACCAAACCCAUAAACAUCACUCUUCACGUACAAAUGCCCUGUAAAAUUUACAACGUUAGAGCACUCCUGUUCAUGUUUGUCGCUGAUUGUCUAGGUGUAGAAAUUUACCUGUGGCGACAUAUUCAGGGGCUGCGUAGCCAUAUGUGCCCAUGACCCGAGUUGUAACGUGAGAGUUGCCAUUUACUGGGCCCAAUUUGGCCAAUCCGAAGUCUGAAAGUUUACCGUUGUAGUCCUCAUCCAACAAAAUAUUAGAGGUCUUAAAGUCCCUGUAUAUGACACUCUUUUCUGAGUUGUGCAAGAAGGCAAGGCCUUGAGCUGCUCCAAUUGCUACUUUAAGUCUAAGAUCCCAUGUAAGUGGCUCUGCACCCUUUCUGAAUAGGUGGUUUUCCAAGCUUCCCUUCUGCAUGUAUUCAUAGACAAGAAGGAACUGUUUUUCUUCCCAACAAUAACCUAGGAGCUUCACAAGAUUUGGGUGUGAAAACUUGCCAAGAAAUUUCACUUCUGACUGCCAUUCUUCUAGCCCUUGAUGGCUAUCUGAGUUGGACUUCUUGACGGCGACCGCAAUGCCGACGCCUACUUUCGACGGUGCGUAAGUCUUCUCAUCAAUCCAACCUUUAAACACUCUUCCAAAUCCACCCUCUCCUAGGAAUGUAUCAGGUCUGAAGUUCCUCGUAGCGCUUUUUAGCUCUGCUAGAGUGAAAAUUUUAAGAUUCGGGGUGAUGAUCUUCCCGCUGUGAGUAGACGUCGUCAUCGCCAUCGUCGUCGUUUGGUUUUUGUUGUUGCUUCCUCCAUUUUCUGGGCUGUUAUUAUUGGUUCUGCUACUCGGAAUUCCAGGUUGUUUGCUAUUGUUAUUCCCUGAGGUUUCUGGUGUAGAAUGAUUGGUAGUGGCUGGGCUGUUGUGAUUAUUCACAGGAGAUCCGAAACAAUUUCCCAUGUCUAACCACCUGUUUUGGUUUUUUUCGAUUGAAGGGUAAUUAGAAGGUGGUGGCUAUGGACAUAAUUUUCCAAUUUGAAGCUAGUAAUUUCCUCGAAAGAUACAAGAAAAAGUCAAGGUGAUAGAAACGCCAGUAACAGUGACUUGUUUCUUGGACUUUUCUUUGUCUCUCUCUCUCAGCUUUCUUGUUUAUGUCGCUGCCUUGCCAUGUUCUUCCGCUUCUUCCUUCUUUUUAUACUCUUUUCUUGCCCUUUUGCCACGCUUUCUAUAGUGCCAAAGACAAAGAUAGAGAAUUAACAAAUCAG
This 2149-nucleotide unclassified non-coding RNA is filed under the name Hevea brasiliensis (rubber tree). The record is from RNAcentral. Lineage: Eukaryota; Viridiplantae; Streptophyta; Magnoliopsida; Malpighiales; Euphorbiaceae.